CAGUCGCCGCGGUAAAACGUAGGUGGCGAGCGUUGUCCGGAAUUAUUGGGCGUAAAGGGAGCGCAGGCGGACAUAUAAGUCCAUCUUAAAAGUGCGGGGCUCAACCCCGUGAGGGGAUGGAAACUGUAUGCCUUGAGUGCAGGAGAGGAAAGCGGAAUUCCCAGUGUAGCGGUGAAAUGCGUAGAUAUUGGGGGGAACACCAGUGGCGAAGGCGGCUUUCUGGACUGUAACUGACGCUGAGGCUCGAGAGCCAGGGGAGCGAACGGGAUUAGAUACCCCAGUAGUCCCUGUCUCUUAUACA
This 301-nucleotide ribosomal RNA is filed under the name uncultured bacterium. RNAcentral's name for it is "partial 16S ribosomal RNA". It matches the Rfam family "Bacterial small subunit ribosomal RNA", at positions 509 to 809 of the family's 1533-position model. The record is from RNAcentral.